CAAGUCGAACGCCUGUAGCAAUACAGGAGUGGCGAAAGGGCGAGGAAUAGAUUCCUACAUACCUCGAGGUCGGGGAUACCCCGGAGAAAUCCGGAUCAAUACCCGAUGUGGUCGAGAGAUCAAAGGUUUACCGCCUUGAGAGUGGGGAAUCUCCUAUCAGCUAGUUGGUGAGGUAACGGCUCACCAAGGCAAAGACGGGUAGCGGGUGUGAGAGCACGGCCCGCCGCAUCGAGACUGAGACACUGCUCGGACUCCUACGGGAGGCUGCAGUAACGAAUCUUCCGCAAUGCGCGAAAGCGUGACGGGGCAAUGCCGCGUGCAGGAUGAAGCCCUUCGGGGUGUAAACUGCUGUCAGGGUGCAUGAAUGAAAUGACCAUACCCAAAGGAAGCACCGGCUAACUCUGUGCCAGCAGCCGCGGUAAUACAGAGGGUGCGAGCGUUAAUCGGAAUCACUGGGCUUAAAGGGUGCGUAGGCGGAUGCAUAGGCGCUUUGUGAAAUCCCACGGCUCAACCGUGGAAUUGCUUGGCGAACCAUGCGUCUUGAGGUUGGUAGAGGUCACUGGAACGAUAGGUGGAGCGGUGAAAUGCGUAGAUAUCUAUCGGAACGCCAACGGUGAAGACAGGUGACUGGGCCAAAUCUGACGCUGAGGCACGAAAGCGUGGGGAGCAAACGGGAUUAGAUACCCCGGUAGUCCACGCCGUAAACGAUGCACACUUGGUCGGAGCGGUUUGACUCCGUUUCGGCCGUAGAAAACUGAUGAGUGUGCCGCCUGGGGAGUACGGUCGCAGAUUAAAACUCAAAGGAUUUGGCGG
Molecule: ribosomal RNA, 813 nt
Filed under: uncultured bacterium
Lineage: Bacteria
Description: bacterial SSU rRNA
Rfam family: Bacterial small subunit ribosomal RNA
Source: RNAcentral